Molecule: non-coding RNA, 110 nt
Organism: Acanthosepion pharaonis
Lineage: Eukaryota; Metazoa; Mollusca; Cephalopoda; Sepiida; Sepiidae
Source: the annotation of a GenBank genome assembly
CGUCUACAUCAUGUCGAAACAUCAGUUCCCGUACGAUCACCAAAGAUAAGCAUCGUCGAGCUUGGUCAAUAUUUAGAUGGGUGACCGCUUGGGAAUACCUGUCGCUGUAA